AGAAAAAAGAGCCUUGAGGACUUCUUCUCCUAAAUGCCCAUGUUAACGUGAUCUCUCCCACUUCUCGUCAUGCGUGUUUUAUGGCCAUGAAUUCACUUCUGAAUCCUAGUUGGGCCAGUGGUAUCCAAACCUGUCAGAACUGGUGCAUGUGCAUUAUUUAGGAAGCAUGUUUAAAUCAGGUUCCUGGGUUUUACUUUUGAAUAAUCUGAUUGAGAAGGUCUGCUAUGGGUACCAUGAAUCAGGACAUUUAUUAAACUCUGGUGACUCUAAGGCAACGAUCUGAUGGGUCAGCAUUUGAGGAAUACUGGCUUUUUCCUUUGGUUGCUCUGUAUUUUCAAAGAAUAUUUGCAUCAGUUUAACUCUACUUUUACAAGGAAAGUUUGGGGGUAGCAGUAAAAGUGCACUGGAUUACAUCUAGGAAGUAUUCCUGUUCAGUAGGCCCAGUGGGAUAGCUGGUUCCUACCUUUAUGCUUCAGUGGUAAAACAGGCUUGGGUGACACUGGGAAAAUUAAUACUGGACCCUCUGAGAUACACUAAAUAUGAGAUAGCAUGUUUUGUAGAAAUUCAGGCUUUAACCAAGGGAUCCUGGCUUAUUCCCAACUUGAGGCACAUUUGGCUUCUUAAUCUACACUCUUUCCUACCUGUCGUAUUUGGCUAUGGCGUUUGUUGAAGUAUUUCUCUUUAUUUCCUAUUACGUUACUGUUUGUUAUUAAACAAUGACCAUGUGCCCUGCUAGACAUGACUGUGUUUUAGUAGUGGGUGAUGUGAUUGCCUAUAUAUAUAACUGUGAAGGCACUUUAGCAUACUUCUGGAGAAAUGUGCCUGUAUAAAUGGAAGCCAUUAUCAUUGUGCUUAAAUUGAAAUGUCAAGUUUGAGUUUGAGACGGAACCUACUUCUGAUUGCAAAGGAAACAUUUCAUGUCAUCAACGAAUGAACUCACUCAAAUUAAACUCUGAUUUUGAAUUUGCUCUCAUAAAUAUCAAAAUGUCCAGCCAGGAGUGAAGGCAGGGAGGCAGGAACACAUAUGCAGAGAUGAGAACAUAGAAAAUGGAGUUGGAUUAAGUUGACUUACAAUGCCAGUGUGGUCAUACAAAGACCUCAGCCAGUCAGCUUAUUGUCUUCUCUAGAGAGGGUGAAACAAGUACCAAACUGGACUGCUCAGAACUCACAAGUAGGAAAUGCAAGAUCUACAUCUUUUUUUUUCGAAAGGAACACAUUUCAUUCUUGUCUUAGGUUAUUCAACAAAACACUUCCCCACAACUGCUGUUUGUACUUUCCUACUGGGUUAGUCCCCUGCAAGGAACACAAGCCUCUCCUUCACUACUCUUUCUUUUUCUUAUCAUUAAAGUAUAGCUGAUUUACAACAUUGUGCCAGUUUCUGCUGUACAGCAGAGUGACCCAAUCAUACAUGUAUAUACAUUCCUUUUCUUAUAUUAUCUUCCAUCAUGGUCUAUCCCAAGAGACUGGAUAGUUUCCUGUGCUGUACAGUAGGACCUCAUUGCUUUUCCAUUCUAGAUGUAAUGGUUUGCAUCUACUAACCCCAAACUCCCAGUCCAUCCCACUCCCUCCCCCUUGGCAACCACACCUGUUCUCUAUGUCUGUGAGUCUGUUUUGUAGAUAUGUUCAUUUGUGCCAUAUUUUAGAUUCUAUAUGAAGUCCUAUCAUAUGGUAUUUGUUGGAGAUAAUCUAAAUGUCCAUAGAUGAGUAGAUUAAGAAGAUGUAGUACAUAUACACAAUGGGAAUACUACUCAGCCAUAAGAAAGAACAAAAUAAUGCAUUUGCAGCAAUGUGGACACAACUAGAGAUUCUCAUACAAAAUGAAGUAAGUCACUAUUUUUUUCUUAUCCAGCCCUACCAUCCCCCUUGUUAUGUGAGGCAUAACCUCACCUCGGGGGACUUGCUGUCUCUUCUGCCUAAAAUCUCUUCCCUGAGGUAUGGUAGCUCAUUCUAGCUCCUCCUUCAAGUUCUGGACCAGUUGGUGCAGGGCUUUCCCCUGACUAUCCUACUUAAAAUGCACUCCCAUUGCUCAUUCCUGGCAUCUCCCAAAGACUUUUUCACUUACUUGAUCUUCAAAGUAUAUUUAUCACUAUUAAACAUAGUAUAAACAUCACCUACUUGUUGAUUUAUUGUGAGUUUCCUCCCUGAAGCUUAAGAACAGGGAAUUUGGGCCUGUACUCAUUCACUCCCGUAUGUUCAGUAUCUAGAACCAUUCCCAAUAGUAGUCACUCAAUAAACUUGCUAAAUGAAUGAAUGAAUGAAUUCAUGACUGUUGAAUAAACAUAUGUGCUAAACUAAAUUUCAUGCAAAGAAAUUGGUAGGGACUUAUCAUAAAUGAGAGAAAAGUAGCUGCUGAAUUGACCUUAACUUUAAUUGAAUUUAAAUGUUGACUUAAAGAUUCUUAUAUUCAGAAGGUCCGCCUUUAUUGUCUUCCUGUAAAGUCCUAGGAAAAAGCUCCUUUUAGAGUCAGAUACUUCCAAUAAUUUGACCUCAAGGCAUCUCACUUGGGUCUUCUACAUGUCUGAUUCUGAAAUUACCCUGGUUAAAAAAAAAAAAAAUACUAGCUAAGAAAUGCUAUGUAUUCCCCAAAAAGUUUAAUAAGUACCCACUUUUUGUCAGGUUUUGGGACAGUCUAUAAGAAUACAGUGGAAUCCAGGAAUGCACAUAAAGUCCCUGCUAUUAUGAGUUUAACUUUUAGUUGAGUAAGAUUGGACAAUUAAACAAGCAAUAAAAUGAGAAGAGAAUAUUCCAGGAUACACUAUGCAUGCAUGCAAUGAAGAAGGUAGAAGGUAGACAUGCUUCUUAUAGUAAAACUGGAGUGAGGAUUAAGUGCUGAACAGGCUAAGGAAAGGAAAGAGAAUCUAGUCAAAAUAAGAGCAUGCAGGAUGGUGACUGUUAUAUAUUCAAGGGCCUGAGAGAAGACUAGAAUUGUGAAAGCUUUUAGCCGGAAGACAACAUGGCAAGAAAAGUAGCUGCAGAGGGAUGUCCAGACCUUUAGAAUUAUGUCAAAGCGUUUGGAUUUUUAUCCCAACUGUAAUAUAAAGCUGUAGUAAUCCUUAAUGCAUUCAUAAAUAUUCUGCCUCUCUUUUCUUCAGCAUUGGGAAGACUGUACUUCACCCACUCUGAAGUUAGGGAUGCCCAUGGAAUUGCUCUAGUCAAUUCGUUGUGAGUGGAAGUGCCAUACUUUGCAUCCAUGCAGAAGUCUUACUUACAAAUCAGUACUUACAAUCUUCCUAAAGCCACAUUGAGCCAAUGAUCAUGGAAGUUCCAUCACCUUUGAGCACAGGUGACUAUAGAGCACCCCUGCUGAUCCACAUUAGACAUGCCGUAUGCAUGGAAAAUAAUAUUUCACUUGGUGAAGCCACUGACAUUUGGGUAUUGGUCUAUUCUUACAAAAUAAUCUGGACUCUGGGGAAUGAGAGAAGAGCAUAUGCAUGACAUAAUGAAAUGGGUUUUUGAAAGAUGACUUUGGUUGGAGUGAGGAAAUUGGGAUGGAUUACGAAAAACCAAAGGCCUAGAGACCAGUUUGGAGGCUGCUAUAGUAAUUUAAGGGAGAGAAGUGACAGGGAUCACACAUAUUUUACAAAUAUCAGAUAAAAGAAUGAUGGCUAGGAGCAGGAUCUCAGGUAUCCAUAGUGGGAAGAGAAAAAAAAAUGGGCAGAUUCAAACUAUAUUUGGGCAAGAGAAUUUGUUGACUGAUAAGAUACAAGAAUGCAAAAGAAGAAGGAAGGCAUUAAUGAGAUUCUCAAGUUUCUGGAUUGAAGAAAGACAUGAACUCAAGGGAUAACAGAACACUGAAGAGAGAAUAUAGAAUUUGGAACUAUGAGAGGUAAUCAGUUUGGUUUUAGAUCUGUUGGGUUUAAGAUGCCUGUGCAGAAUCCAUAUCUAGGUAUAGGGAGAUGAUCGUUUAAAAUUGGAGCUCAAGAGAGGGAGACCUAAGCCCAGGAUAUUUAGAUUUGUGAAGCAUUAUGAUAGAGAUAAUAAGUCCUUGUAGAUGAGAUCAUUCUGAGGGCAUGUAUUCUCUGACAAAAUGCAGUUGGGCAUAUCAGAGAAUAGCUUUGUUUAGUUAGUAAAAAAGAAAAAAUGCAUGUGAUGGAAAGCUGCAUGAUGUAAUCUUGAAAACAAAGGGGAUAAAAAAUUUACCCAAAGCAGAUUUUACUCCAAAAAAAUCACCCUGAAGUGGGGAGUCAAGAGCAAUACCUACACCUUGAUUGAUUUGCAAUUCUUUUACCAGUAACUAGACCAGUUAUAAGAGAAAAUAUAUAUUCACUCCCCAGGGAUUAAAAAAAAAAUGAAUGAUCUACUACUUUUAAGCUCUGUGGUUUAUUCAAAAAAACACAUUUUUUAUUUUAUUCUGUCAUUUGAAUCAAUAGCUGGGAAAUAAAGCCUAGAAUUUUAACCAGAGAUAAAUGAUUAUUCCCAUUUAAUUAUUUUGAAGUGACCUUAAGUGAUAAGCUUAUCUAUAUUGCAAAGCUCAUAUACAAAUCACUUGACAAGCUCAGUCCACAAAAUGAGCUUAGUUAUGAUGUUGCUGUUAUCACAAGUUUAUUCGUUCUUUCAGAAUCAUUUUGUAUGUGGGUGCCUAGCAGAAGCACAGCAAAAUAAUCUAUUUGAUUUUGUCAUCUGUUGCAGAAUAAAUUACACUCAUGUGGUGCUCAGGUAUCCUCUCUUUUAAAAGUUAAUGGUCAGUUGUCAUGACAUAAAAUUGAUAUGCAUUUGUCAUAUCAAAGGUUAUGAUAUCACAUAAAUAUUUAUCUCAAAAAGUGGGAAUUUAAAAAUUCUGGAGUUCCCAUCGUGGUGCAGCAAAAACGAAUCCGACUAGGAACCAUGAGGUCGAGGGUUCAAUCCUUGACCUCGCUCAGUGGGUUAAGGAUCCGGCAUUGCAGUGAGCUGUGGUAUAGGCCACAGAAGAGGCUUGGAUCUGGUAUUGCUGUGGCAUAGGCUGGCAGCUGUAGCUCCGAUUGGACCCCUAGCCUGAGAACUU
This 4981-nucleotide long non-coding RNA is filed under the name Sus scrofa (pig). RNAcentral describes it as "lncRNA (ENSSSCG00000054141.1)". Lineage: Eukaryota; Metazoa; Chordata; Mammalia; Artiodactyla; Suidae. The record is from RNAcentral.